AUGGAUGAACCUUGAAGAUAUUAUGCUAAAUGAAAUCAGCCAGUCACAAAAAGACAAAUACUGUGUGAUUCUAUUUCAAUGAAGUGCCCAGAAUAGGCAAAUUCAUAGACAGGAAAUAGAAUGGUAGUUGCCAAAGGCUACAGGGAAAGGGGAGAUGGGACUUAUUGUUUACUUGGUAGAGAGUUUCAGUUUUGCAAGACGAAGACUUCUGGAGAUGGAUGGUGGUUAUGGUUAUACAAUAACACGAGUAAAUGAAUGCCACUGAAUUGUACACUUAAAAAUGGUUGAGAUGGUACAUUUUACAUUAUGUGGUUUUUUUUUACAAUUAAAAAGGAAAAAGGAAGGUGGGAGAGCUCUAAAAUGAGAAGGUAACAGUUUGAUUAACUGUUACCAGUUUAAUUAGCUGAUGAGUGGCAUGAAUGUACAACUUCCGUUUUGAACGUGGCUCAUAUCUCCUGUGUUCCUAUCCCAGCUCUAUCACUUUCUUGCUGAGUGACCUUGAGCAAGUUGCUUGACCCCUCUGAGACUCUUUCCUCACCUAUAAAAUACAGAUAAUCAGAGUACGUAUGUCACAGGGUUGUUGUGAAAAUGAAAUGACAUUAGCACAGAGCCUGGCAUAUUUACUUUUCAUUUAGCAAAUUGGUUAAGCUCCUACUAUGUGCCAGUAAGUGCUGAAGAUGCAACAGUGAACAAAACAGACAAAAGUCUCUGCCCCUAUGGAGUUUAUAUGUCCAUGUGCAUUAGCCUGCAUUUCCCAGAAAGCAGAACAUGAAGCUAAGGCUUAUGUAUUGCUCUUUUACAAGUGGGGGUACUCAGAUGCCUCCAGCAUCUACAGCUAAGAACACUUUCAGGCAAAUACAGUUCUGCUGAUCAUCCCUAGGAGGACAAUCAUGUUAUAGAACCAACAGGUUUGUAUGUCCACUGUGCAGUAACAGACCAAUUACACUGAGACAGCAAGGUUUGCAACAGAGAAAAAGAUCCAUGAUCAUGGAGGGUGAGGGACUUCAGAAUUGGGGCUGUUGAUUGAUCAGGGAAAGGGGGCUGAAAUCAUCAGGAUGUGAAAACUGCAUUCUUCGGCAGUCAGAUUCUCAUUGGGUCCUUCAGAUUGGCUAGUGUUAUAGUCUUAUUAGUAUGCAGGACCUGAAGGACUAUCUCAAAAAGAAAACUUACUGUUUUGUAGUGUUCAGUUUUUUAUCUAUAGAGCAGUUAAGGGGAGCUAUAAUCUUGUAACAGAGUCUACGUGAUUGUAGGACAAUAGGCACCACACAAAUAUGAGG
This 1277-nucleotide long non-coding RNA is filed under the name Homo sapiens (human). RNAcentral's name for it is "HSALNT0405234". The record is from RNAcentral. Lineage: Eukaryota; Metazoa; Chordata; Mammalia; Primates; Hominidae.